GAUGAACGCUGGCGGCGUGCCUAAUACAUGCAAGUCGAGCGAACAGACGAGGAGCUUGCUCCUCUGACGCUAGCGGCGGACGGGUGAGUAACACGUGGAUAACCUACCUAUAAGACUGGGAUAACUUCGGGAAACCGGAGCUAAUACCGGAUAAUAUAUUGAACCGCAUGGUUCAAUAGUGAAAGACGGUUUUGCUGUCACUUAUAGAUGGAUCCGCGCCGCAUUAGCUAGUUGGUAAGGUAACGGCUUACCAAGGCAACGAUGCGUAGCCGACCUGAGAGGGUGAUCGGCCACACUGGAACUGAGACACGGUCCAGACUCCUACGGGAGGCAGCGGUAGGGAAUCUUCCGCAAUGGGCGAAAGCUUGACGGAGCAACGCCGCGUGAGUGAUGAAGGUCUUCGGAUCGUAAAACUCUGUUAUUAGGGAAGAACAAAUGUGUAAGUAACUAUGCACGUCUUGACGGUACCUAAUCAGAAAGCCACGGCUAACUACGUG
Molecule: ribosomal RNA, 497 nt
Filed under: uncultured bacterium
Lineage: Bacteria
Description: partial 16S ribosomal RNA
Rfam family: Bacterial small subunit ribosomal RNA
Source: RNAcentral